AGAAAGUUAGUCUAACUAAGACAGUUGGUUUCGACCCAACAAAUUAUAGCUAACUCUAUAACUUUCUU
This 68-nucleotide transfer RNA is filed under the name Talegalla fuscirostris. Its description in RNAcentral is "tRNA-Arg". The record is from RNAcentral. Lineage: Eukaryota; Metazoa; Chordata; Aves; Galliformes; Megapodiidae.